RNAcentral lists this ribosomal RNA (584 nucleotides) under uncultured bacterium. Its description in RNAcentral is "bacterial SSU rRNA". It matches the Rfam family "Bacterial small subunit ribosomal RNA", at positions 8 to 575 of the family's 1533-position model. The record is from RNAcentral.
AGAGUUUGAUCCUGGCUCAAAACGAACGCUGGCGGCGGGCCUCAUACAUGCAAGUCGAGCGCGAAAGUCCGCAAGGAUGAGUAAAGCGGCGCACGGGUGAGUAACACGUGGAUAAUCUACCCCUUGGAUUGGAAUAACCUGUCGAAAGACGGGCUAAUGCCGAGUGCGCUUACGAGAUUGUGAUGAUCUUGUAAGGAAAGAUGGCGCAAGCUAUCGCCGAGGGAUGAGUCUGCCCCCCAUUAGUUAGUUGGUGAGGUAAUGGCUUACCAAGACAAUGAUGGGUACCUGGUCUGAGAGGAUGACCAGGCACACUGGAACUGAAACACGGUCCAGACUCCUACGGGAGGCAGCAGUAGGGAAUAUUGCGCAAUGGACGAAAGUCUGACGCACCCACGCCGCGUGAGGUGAGGAAGGCCUUCGGGUUGUAAAGCUCUGUCAUCUGAGAAAAACGGCUAUCCGGGUAAUAUUCGGGUAGCGUGAUGGUACCAAAGGAGGAAGCACCGGCAAACUCUGUGCCAGCAGCCGCGAUAAUACAGAGGGUGCAAGCGUUUGUUCGGAAUUACUGGGCGUAAAGCGUGCGUAGU